GACGAACGCUGGCGGCGAGCUUAACACAUGCAAGUCGAACGGAAAGGCCCCUUUGGGGGUACUCGAGUGGCGAACGGGUGAGUAACACGUGAGUAACCUGCCCUUGACUUCGGGAUAACUUCAGGAAACUGGGGCUAAUACCGGAUAGGAAUCCUUGCUGCAUGGUGGGGGUUGGAAAGCUUCGGCGGUUUUGGAUGGACUCGCGGCUUAUCAGCUUGUUGGUGGGGUAGUGGCUUACCAAGGCUUUGACGGGUAGCCGGCCUGAGAGGGCGACCGGCCACAUUGGGACUGAGAUACGGCCCAGACUCCUACGGGAGGCAGCAGUGGGGAAUAUUGCACAAUGGGCGGAAGCCUGAUGCAGCAACGCCGCGGGCGGGAGGACGGCCUUCGGGUUGUAAACCGCUUUCAGCAGGGGCGAAGCUUGUGGUGACGGUACCUGCAGAAGAAGCACCGGCUAACUACGUG
Molecule: ribosomal RNA, 465 nt
Filed under: uncultured bacterium
Lineage: Bacteria
Description: partial 16S ribosomal RNA
Rfam family: Bacterial small subunit ribosomal RNA
Source: RNAcentral